GCGGGCGUGGCGGAACGGCAGACGCGCUGGAUUUAGGAUCCAGUGGGGCAAAUCCCGUGGGGGUUCAAAUCCCUUCGCCCGCACCA
RNAcentral lists this transfer RNA (86 nucleotides) under Bacillota bacterium. Its description in RNAcentral is "tRNA-Leu". It matches the Rfam family "tRNA". Rfam says of the family: Transfer RNA (tRNA) molecules are approximately 80 nucleotides in length. Their secondary structure includes four short double-helical elements and three loops (D, anti-codon, and T loops). Lineage: Bacteria; Bacillati; Bacillota. The record is from RNAcentral.